RNAcentral lists this long non-coding RNA (283 nucleotides) under Marmota monax (woodchuck). The record is from RNAcentral. Lineage: Eukaryota; Metazoa; Chordata; Mammalia; Rodentia; Sciuridae.
AACUUGGCUAAUUCUCAAAAUAAAAAAGAUUCAUUAUUUUAACAAAUCCCUUGGUAUGAAAAGGCUGCCCUUCCUUCUAAGAAGUAAGUGAUAUGUUAGCCAAAGUUUUUCUAAUAAAGCAGAUAGAUACUUAAAAUAAUUGGGUUUAAGACAUAUACUAUUAAACUUUCCAUUCUUAUUAUUUUUAUAACUAAGCACACACACAUACACAACAAAUCCUAGCACUUAAUAUGUGCAAAAUUGCUUACCAUUUAUUUUCAUUUUAACUUUGGUUAAGUAUUUC